AGUGGCGGACGGGUGAGUAACGCGUGAGAAUCUGCCUUGGGGUCGGGGACAACCACUGGAAACGGUGGCUAAUACCGGAUAAGCCGAUUGGUGAAAGAUUUAUUGCCCGAAGAGGAGCUCGCGUCUGAUUAGCUAGUUGGUGAGGUAAGAGCUCACCAAGGCAGCGAUCAGUAGCUGGUCUGAGAGGACGAUCAGCCACACUGGGACUGAGACACGGCCCAGACUCCUACGGGAGGCAGCAGUGGGGAAUUUUCCGCAAUGGGCGAAAGCCUGACGGAGCAAGACCGCGUGAGGGAGGAAGGCUCUUGGGUUGUAAACCUCUUUUCUCAGGGAAGAAGCUCUGACGGUACCUGAGGAAUCAGCCUCGGCUAACUCCGUGCCAGCAGCCGCGGUAAUACGGAGGAGGCAAGCGUUAUCCGGAAUUAUUGGGCGUAAAGCGUCCGCAGGUGGCGAUUCAAGUCUGCUGUCAAAGCACGGGGCUUAACUCCGUAAAGGCAGUGGAAACUGAAUAGCUAGAGUGCCGUAGGGGUAGAGGGAAUACCCGGUGUAGCGGUGAAAUGCGUAGAGAUCGGGAAGAACAUCGGUGGCGAAAGCGCUCUACUGGACGGCAACUGACACUCAGGGACGAAAGCUAGGGGAGCGAAUGGGAUUAGAUACCCC
This 660-nucleotide ribosomal RNA is filed under the name uncultured bacterium. RNAcentral's name for it is "bacterial SSU rRNA". It matches the Rfam family "Bacterial small subunit ribosomal RNA", at positions 94 to 788 of the family's 1533-position model. The record is from RNAcentral.